RNAcentral lists this unclassified non-coding RNA (645 nucleotides) under Hevea brasiliensis (rubber tree). Lineage: Eukaryota; Viridiplantae; Streptophyta; Magnoliopsida; Malpighiales; Euphorbiaceae. The record is from RNAcentral.
CAGCAGUUUGGGAGCUUGAUAAAGGUGUGCUACAUUCCCUGUAGUGUGAAUUAACUGCUGAGGACACGCAUCAACUGAAAAUGACACUUGUAUAGGAUUUCAACAUCAAAUAGUUGAUUUAUGUUACUGGAGGCAAUCUGAUAUAGCUAAGGAUCAUGGACCUUGUAGAUGAUGUAGUCGCAUACAUAGAGUUAGCAUGAUGUUCAAUUAUAUUGCCUAUGUUAUCUAAAAUGAUAUUGAUUUGGGAAUUUUGGAAGAAAUAUAUUUCAAGGAUACAUCUUAGGCAUCUUAGUCAAAUUUAUAGGGAAUGUAUAUGAAUGUUUGGGAUGAUUUUCUCUGAGAAGCUUCUUCACUGCCAUGCAAUUUCCUUAUUUUGCUUGUUCCUGCACUCCUUCUUUUAGAAAACUCAAGUCACAGGGUGGAGGUUCGAUUUUAGCAAUAAAAUAGAAAGUUUGAAUACUAAUUAUCUGUUCUGUUAUUUUCUGCAAUGGCCUUUUUUGAGAAGAUGAUCUUACAUAAAUCAUAUAUUGUUGGCUUUGUCUCUUAAAAAUGAUUGACUGCACAUGAUAUGCAGCAGCAAGGAUUUGAUUACUUACAAAUUAAAUUGAAGUUAUCUUCAUGUAGCAAAUCACAGGAACAUUGUUA